UGGGGAAUUUUGGACAAUGGGCGAAAGCCUGAUCCAGCAAUGCCGCGUGUGUGAAGAAGGCCUUCGGGUUGUAAAGCACUUUUGUCCGGAAAGAAAUCCUUGGCUCUAAUACAGUCGGGGGAUGACGGUACCGGAAGAAUAAGCACCGGCUAACUACGUGCCAGCAGCCGCGGUAAUACGUAGGGUGCAAGCGUUAAUCGGAAUUACUGGGCGUAAAGCGUGCGCAGGCGGUUUGCUAAGACCGAUGUGAAAUCCCCGGGCUCAACCUGGGAACUGCAUUGGUGACUGGCAGGCUAGAGUAUGGCAGAGGGGGGUAGAAUUCCACGUGUAGCAGUGAAAUGCGUAGAGAUGUGGAGGAAUACCGAUGGCGAAGGCAGCCCCCUGGGCCAAUACUGACGCUCAUGCACGAAAAGCGUGGGGAGCAAACAGGAUUAGAUACCCUGGUAGUCCACGCCCUAAAACGAUGUCAACUAGUUGUUGGGGAUUCAUUUCCUUAGUAACGUAGCUAACGCGUGAAAGUUGACCGCCUGGGGAGUACGGUCGCAAGAUUAAAACUUAAAUGAAUUGACGGGGUCAUAGCUGUUUCCU
Molecule: ribosomal RNA, 588 nt
Filed under: uncultured bacterium
Lineage: Bacteria
Description: partial 16S ribosomal RNA
Rfam family: Bacterial small subunit ribosomal RNA
Source: RNAcentral